GGACUUAACAAGCAGCUGGAACUUGUUCUCACUGGCGCUAACAGAAAAACAGCUUUAUAAACCAUUGCUGUAUGCUGUUGAACGAAGAUGCCCGGUUCAUGCUUUAAAAGGAGGCUCCUGGAAGAACAGCCUGAAGACACUGUCUCAGAUCAAAAGCAGCCUCAAAAGGACAUCUUUUUCAAAUUCAAUUACUGACUCUGGGGACUUACAUGGAGGAGUUAUGGUUAUGAAGAAGAAAAGAUCAACCACUUGGAUCUGAAGAUGUUUACAGCAUUAAGAUAGAUGGAUUAUUCAAGGUCGGAUCCUAAUAUUUUCUCUUCUGAUGAGACAAUUUAAAAAGAUAAGUGCCGAUUUUUGCUUUCAGAGUCAUCAGCUCUGUAUUUUUCCCCUUGUCUCCUGACAUUCUCUUGGAUUUGUGGUGUUAAUUACAUUCCACUAACCUUGGCUUCUAGAAUGCCAAGACUCUUAGCUGCUAAGAUCCACAAAUAACAUCAAUUAGAUAAAUGGGGCGUUUCCACUCUCUCAUGCAACCCUGUUGGAUCUGCAAGUGCAGCGCUAAUAACUCCUAGGAUUCUGCUGCAUGGUCCUGACUUCAAAUAUUUUGAGAAUGAAUGUAAAUUAGAGUAUUUCGACUUUUAGUUUGGAUAAUAUAAUCACUAUAUAUAUGAAAUAUUAAAACUUUGAAAUGAAAAUUGUUCUCAUUUUAAAACUCCAGG
This 716-nucleotide long non-coding RNA is filed under the name Sus scrofa (pig). RNAcentral's name for it is "lncRNA (ENSSSCG00040068049.1, ENSSSCG00055026284.1)". The record is from RNAcentral. Lineage: Eukaryota; Metazoa; Chordata; Mammalia; Artiodactyla; Suidae.